RNAcentral lists this ribosomal RNA (348 nucleotides) under Staphylococcus aureus. Its description in RNAcentral is "partial 23S ribosomal RNA". It matches the Rfam family "Bacterial large subunit ribosomal RNA", at positions 178 to 521 of the family's 2925-position model. The record is from RNAcentral. Lineage: Bacteria; Bacillati; Bacillota; Bacilli; Caryophanales; Staphylococcaceae.
GGCACACCCGGAGAACUGAAACAUCUUAGUACCCGGAGGAAGAGAAAGAAAAUUCGAUUCCCUUAGUAGCGGCGAGCGAAACGGGAAGAGCCCAAACCAACAAGCUUGCUUGUUGGGGUUGUAGGACACUCUAUACGGAGUUACAAAGGACGACAUUAGACGAAUCAUCUGGAAAGAUGAAUCAAAGAAGGUAAUAAUCCUGUAGUCGAAAAUGUUGUCUCUCUUGAGUGGAUCCUGAGUACGACGGAGCACGUGAAAUUCCGUCGGAAUCUGGGAGGACCAUCUCCUAAGGCUAAAUACUCUCUAGUGACCGAUAGUGAACCAGUACCGUGAGGGAAAGGUGAAAAG